RNAcentral lists this long non-coding RNA (14324 nucleotides) under Theobroma cacao (cacao). Its description in RNAcentral is "long non-coding RNA (TCAC_LNC004708)". The record is from RNAcentral. Lineage: Eukaryota; Viridiplantae; Streptophyta; Magnoliopsida; Malvales; Malvaceae.
GCAAGCUCCACAGUCAUAACUGCCAUAUGUAUUCCGGGACAACCCCUUCUACCGGCACCAAAAGGUAUGAGCUCAAAGUCUAGUCCUUUAUAGUCAAUAGAGCUGCCAAUGAAUCUCUCCGGAUAGAACUCUUCUGGGUUUUCCCAAGCUUCAGGGUCUCUUCCAAUUGCCCAUGCAUUCACAUGAACUAAAGUUUUGGAAGGUAUUUCAUACUCACCAAUAUUGCACUUCCGCUUUGUUUCUCGUGGCAAUAACAAUGGAGUUACUGGUUGCAAUCUGAAUGUCUCUUUUAUCACUGCUUUAAGAUAAAUUAAGCCUUGAACAUCAUCUUCAUUAACAAAACUUGUUUUUCCUGUCAAGCUUCUGAUUUCCUCUUGAACUUUCUUCAAGCAUCUAGGAUUUCUUAUUAGGAAUGUCAUGACCCAAAUCACAGUGGCAGCACUAGUAUCUGUUCCCGCGAUAAACACAUUCUGCAUAAAAGAAAAAAAAAAGACAUGAAGAAAUUAUAUAUAUAUAUAUAUAUAUAUAUAUAUAUAUAUAUAUAUAUUAAAGGUGCUGAAGCUAUAAGAUUAAUAAUGAUAAUGCUUAAUAUUAUAGUUAAAGUAAAUUUUUGAGAGAGAAUGACCAUUAGCACAGCUUUUAUGUGGUCCAUAGUAAGAUCAAUUCCAAAGUCACGAUCUUUCGAAAUUUGUAGUAAAACAUCAAUUAUGUCAUUUUGCUCGAGUUUUGAUUUAUUUGGAUCAAGAUGCUCAUCAAUGAGUUCUUGAUAGAAGAUGUCAAAUUCUUUAAAUUUUUUUUCAAGUCGAUCGAGUAAUCCAGAGAAUCUAUCUACCAAACUCAUGAAAGGAAAAUAGUCAGAAAAAAAGUAGGUCGCGAUCAUGGCUUGGCUUUCAUUAAGUAGCCCAUGAAAUCUGCUUCUUUUAGUUCCUUCUUCUUCAAACCUCUUGCCAAAUCCUACUCUGCAAAUUAUUGCAGAGGUAAGACAUAUCAUUGCCUCACUCAAAUUGACAAGCUUAGAAUCAAUAGAUAAUUUGGAUAUUUUUGUAAUCAGACGAGCAACUUCAUCUUCUUGGAUAGGACGAUAAAGUUGUACCCUGUUGGAGUUUAAGAGAUGAACAACACAUAUUUUCCUGAUCUCCCUCCAAUAACCAUUAUACGGCGUAAAAGCGAAAUCUAAGUUAUUAUAAGAUAAUUUUUGCGUCCCACGUAAAGUAGGCCUACUGCAGAAGUCGAGGUCAUGGGUUUUCAUAACCUCUUUAGCCAUUUUUGCUGAAGAAACAACCAGGGUUGGCCUAAAUCCAAGUCGUAGGGACAUGAGAGGACCAUACUUUUGAGAGAGUUUCCAAAGAAAAAUAUGAUGGGCUGAGUUAUCAAGCAUCUGCAGGUGUAAAUGACCGAUCAAGGGAAGACCUGGCGGGCCAGGGGGAAGAAGAAUAUUGCCAUCGUUUCUAUGUUUUAGGAGAAAGAAUAGGAAGAGGCUGGGGACGGCUAGGACAAAGAACAACAACACUACCAUUGUGAUCUACUCAAUCGAUGAAGCAACUUGUGAAAAUUGAGUGCAAGAGUCCCUUUAUAUAGCCUAAUUAACCGACUGAGAAAAAAAAAUUAGCCGACACUUCUAAUAAAAAAUUUUUAAUAGUAAUUAAUAAUGAGAUUCAUGGAUGACAUUAUCCUGCCGAUGUACCUAAGUACUGCUCAGAACGCUAUUCUUGCGUAGUUGAAUUGCUCCUUUUUUUGGUGCUUAGCUAAUUAUAGGAAGGGAUAUAAAUAUUCGAAAAUUGUUUCUUUUUUAUGGGAUUUGGUGUACUAAAGUCCUGUAUGAACAAUAGGAUUAGCAGCACUCUCACUAGUUGAAAAAGAUAUCUUAUCUCAAGUUACUCGACUUAGAAAUAAAUAAAAAAUUCAGAGCUUUCUUAUAAUGUAUAAUCCAAUCGAAUUUCCUCACUCUUGCCAAUCAGCGGGCUUAUGCUUAAUUCUCACGUCUCUGGUAAAUAUAAAAUUACACUUAUCAUGUAAAAUUCAUAAAGUAGGAACUAAGUGUCAAAGAAGCAGAUUGUUUACUCUCUCCAUCAGUCCUUCACAUCAUCAUUGAUGUUUGGACUGGUUAGUGAUCUAUUACAUCAGGGAACCAUACGUCUUGAUUCUUGAAUUUUCUCCUUUACAAAAUGGUUUAAAAAUUAAAAAAAUGUUUACUGAGCAACACUUCUUGCCUUAGUACUUUAUCCUUCCUAAUUUGACAUUAAUCCAAUUUGAAAUAUUGUAGUUAACGAAUAAAUUUAUAAAUUGACAGAUCAUUUAUCGAUAUAUGAUUUAAUAAAUUUCAUCACAUUAAGAGAAAAAAUAAUAAAAAUUAAAAGUGUAUACUCAAAUAUAUAUGGUUAAUCUAAAAGGAGUACUGCUAGUAUUCUUCUGGGACUCCAAAGAACAAUAGGAAUUCAAUAAUGAAAGGUGAAAACUUGCAGGCUUGCAGCUGUGUCGAAACGUUGAUGAGGUGGUUAUGCUCCAGCCGUCCAGUCCAAGAUAGCCUUUACAAUAUUUAAGGUCCUUGUCAGCUUUUUGAUGAUUAAGCACCAAAUUAAGAUGAAACAUGUUUAAAUUGAUAAUCUCCUAACAAAUUAUAUAUUAUGAGAUUAAUUAGAUGGAGAACUUGGCUGUGAUCACAUUUAACAUAUUUUUUAAGUAAUUUGACAACUUGCAGGCUCGCAGCUGUGUCGAAACUUUGAUGAGGUGGUUAUGCUCCAGCCGUUCAGUCCAAGCUAGCCUUUACACUAUAUAAGGUCCUUGUCGGCUUUUUGAUGAUUAAGCACUAAAUUAAGAUGAAACAUGUUUAUAUUGAUAAUCUCCUAACAGAUUAUAUAUUAUGACAUUAAUUAGAUGGAGAACUUGGUUGUGAACACAUUUAACAUAUUUUUUAAGUAAUUUAUCUUUGAUUAUGACUGGUAUAUAGUAGUCAAUUACGUCCAAAUUGAAUUAUUGGGUACGUCUAAUUAAAAAUUAAACAAAAUUGACUUAAUUAAUUACACAAAUAUUAGAUAAAUACAAGAAAAAUGUCAGCUUUUACAUGAUCAUAGUCCAAGCUUUUGCUGUUAUUUUCCUGGCUACGGAUUUGCUGCAGUUAGCUCUAUAUGUAUUUGAAAUGAUGCUUGUCUAUUGCAAUUCAAAUAAUGUUUGCUAUGAUUUGUAGACACUGUUUUUAUUACUGUAUAUGUUCUUUUUAUUUUAUUUUAUAUUUUUAUUUUUACAUCUUUUAUUUUAGUAAUCAUUUAAAUUGGGUCUAGGCCAGGUCUUAUGAAACUGUCUAGGGCCUGGUAAUGGGAAACUUACUAUUGGGUCUAAUAUUAAAUAACCAUUGGGUCUGGUAAUUGUAGACACUCGUUUUUACUGUAUUAUCUUUCAAUUUUAUAAAUAAAUAAAAAAAUUAAAGAAAAAAAUAAAUUUCAAAUGCAGCAAACAGGGAGGAAGGAUUUUGAAAAUUCUUUAGCUAAAUAAGGAUGUUUUAGAGUAGGAAAAUAAAAGUAAAAAAAAUAUAUAUAAAGCUGUGAAUGAAAAAAUAGAUAAAUAUUUAGCUAUAAAAUAAUAAGUUAGUUGGGUAAAAUAUAUGCAUAAAACAAGAAAAUGAAUGUCAAAUCUAAAAAAUAAUAAUUGUAGAUCUAGGUUGAAAUAUAAGUAUAUGAGAGAAAUAAAUAAAUACUUAGCAAUAAAAAUAUAGAACUAAGUAAGUAAAAUAAUAUCUAGUUAGGAAAAAUUAAUUUAACUAAAGGAAAAUAUAUAAAUAUGUAAUAUAUAUAUAUAUAUAGUCAUAAGAAAAAUAGCUUAGGUAAGAAGUAAAAAUAAUAAUAAAAUAUGCAGUCAUAAGAAAGUGAGUUAAGUAAAUGGAAAAAAAGUACAUUUGGUCAUGAAAAGUAGGUUAGGUAAAUUACUAAAAAUAGCAUAAAUAUAUAACAAAAAAAAUAAAAUGAUAUAAAUAUAAAUAUUUAUUCACAAAAGGGGGUUAAUUAAUAUAUAAAUAUAGACAGUAAUAAAGUGGUUGCUUUGGAUUAAUUUCGAUGAUGGAAUUUCAUUCAAAAAGGCAAAGUGUUGCCAUUUUCGGGAUGCCUCCUAAGAACGGAAUAUAAUUAGGUUUUUCUCCAAAGUGUCGAGAUAAAUCCUAAUUUCGUAUUCUAAUAUUCUGUUAAUUCAUGCAAUUACCUUAAAUUCAUACAUAAAUAAAUUUAUAUAAUAUUCCAUCUGAAAUUAAAUUUGAUAUGGUUACUAGUUAAUUUAAGAAAAAUAGAUUGCAAAUAAAAGAUUAAUUGUUUGUCCAAUAAAAAAUAGUUCAAUAAAAUAAAAUAAUAUUAACCUCUAAUAUUAAUUAAAAAAAUUAUUAUCAAUUUAAAUAGAAUGUUUCUUAAAAAAUAUAUAUAGUCAAAAUAAAUGAGGCAAAUACAUAUAUUUAAAUAAAAUGUUCUUUAAAAGAUAUAUAAUGUAAACAAAUAAAUAAAUGGUUUAUUUAAUUAUAUUAAAACAUUUAAUAUAUAUAAAUUGUAAUCAACAAAAUUAUGUUCAUGAACAUGCUCAUGUAACAUCAUUUAUAAUUUAUUUUGGCAUAGCAUACGACAUGUUUAGUUUAUUAAAGGGACAAGAAUCCCAAUGAUGAAAUUUUCUUGAAAGACUUGUAGAGACGAGUUCUUCCAGAAAUAUCCAUAGGUAAGAAAAACUUUGAGACUUUACCAAAGUAUUGGAAUAGUCUAUGAAUGAUUUUUCAAUACAAAGUUUUUGCUUUUCAUUAUUUUAAAUUGGUAAAUCAUGACAUCAUUUCAUAAUUGCAUCAUGUGCACUUGUAACAUCGAAUAAAAUGUUUUAAUUUCUUAAUAAAAUAGAGAAUUAAGUAAAUAAAUAAUAAAUAGGAAAACAUAAGAAUAAAAUCAAUGGUUUAGAAUAACAUAUAAUUAAGUGAUACCGUUCCUGAAACGGGCGUCAUAGGGGUGCCAAUCCUUCUUUAUACAAAAUCGUACUCCCGAACCCAACUCUAAUAAAUCGUAGAUCAGUUUAUUGUUCUUUCGAUGGAUUUAAAGCCAAUUUAGGACUUCAUCGAUUAUAACAAAGUUAAUAGGUGACCAAUCACAUCUAAAUAAAAAAGAUUAGUAACGACUCUUAAAUUUCCACGUCUAGCAAUCGAACUCCAGUACCGCACAUUACAACAUGAUUAAACAUGAAGGCUCAUUUUUUUCUUUCUUUAGCUUCCUUGCUGCAUGUAACCUUUUCUGUUUCGAGUUUCAAGGUUUUUUCUAAUAUGUCACUUUGAUUUUUGGCAACUUUAUUUAUCAAUAAAUACUAUUUCAACAAAAAAGUUAUAGAGACAAAUUUAAUUGAUUUAAUGAGUUUCAAGUCAAUAAGUGACGUCUCCUUAUAUUAAUUUAAGAAUUCGGAAACUUAAAAACCAUUGAAUUGAUCACUCAACUAGAAUAUCAUGGAUUACUCAAAAGAAAGUUAAAUUACAUUACAUUAAUUAAUGAUCAUUAGGUUAUCGUUUUUGAAACAAAAACAACUUAAAAAUUAACAUUAACAAACAUGGAUUUAUUAUAAAACAUACACAACAUAAAAUGUUGUUGACACUCCAAACUAGAGCAAGCUAGCAGCAAUUAAGUUACUAGGAUAACCUUACAUGCACUAAACAUUAAUUUCUUUGGCCACAAGGCAAAGAGCAUUUUUUUUGUGUGCAGUGAUACCGGGUAUCACAUCAAAGUCUAAGUCUUCCUUGUUCAUAUCUGUUGGCAUUUCCCAGUCAAAUUUGUAAAGAAGAUUAGCAAGGGCAAGCUCCAUAAUCGCAACUCCCAUAUGUAUUCCGAGACAACCCCUUCUACCGGCACUAAAAGGUAUGAGCUCGAAGUCUAGUCCUUUAUAGUCAAUAGAGCUGCCAAUGAAUCUCUCCGGAUAGAAUUCUUUUGGGUUUUCCCAAGCUUCAGGGUCUCUUCCCACCGCCCAUGCAUUCACAUAAACUAAGGUUUUGGCAAGUAUGUCAUACCCACCUAUGCUGCAUUUUCGCAUUGUUUCUCGCGGCACUAAUAAUGGAGCUAUUGGUUGAAAAUCUAAAUGUUUCUUUUAUCACAGCUUUAAGAUAAGUUAGGCCCUGAGCAUCAUCUUCAGUUACAAAAUCCUUUUUUUCCUAUCAAACUUCUAACUUCCUCUUGAACUUUCUUCAUGCACCUAGGAUUUUUCAUUAGGAAGGUCAUGACCCAAAUCACGGUGGCAACGCUAGUAUCCAUUCCAGCAAUAAACACAUUUUGCAUAGAAGAAAUAAAAAAAAACAUAAGGCAUAUAUAUUUUCCUAUGGCGUGAAGCUAUAAAAUAAAUUAAUGAUAAUACUUAAUAUUAUAAUUAAGUGAAAAUGACCAUUAGCACAACUUUUAUGUGAUCCAUAGUGAGAUUAAUUGCAAAGUCACGAUCUUUCCAGAUCUGUAGUAAGACAUUGACUAUAUCCUCUUGCUCCGAUUUUGAUCUAUUCAGAUCAAGAUGUUCACUAAUUAGUUCUUGAUAGAAGAUAUCAAAUUCUUUGUAAUUUUUUUCAAGACUACUGAGUAAUCCAGAGAAUCUAUCUACCCAACCCAUGGAAGGAAAAUAAUCAGAGAUAAAGAAGCUCGCGAGCAAAGAUUGGCUUUCAUUAAGCAACCUAUGAAACCUGCUUCUUUCAGUUCCUACUUCUUCGUACCUUUUGUCGAAUCCUAUUCUACAAAUUAUGGUACUGGUAAGAUACAUCAUUGCCUCACUCAAAUUGACAACCUUAGAAUCAACAGAUAAUUUGGAUAUUUUUGUAAUCAAGCCAUUAACUUCAUCUUCUCGGAUGAGACGAAAUAGUUGCACUCUAUUAGAAUUAAAGAGAUGAACGACACAUAUUUUCCUAAUCUCUCGCCAAUAAGCAUUAUACUGUGAAAAAGCCAAAUCUAAACCAUUAUAAGAAAAUUUCUGCGCUCCACAUAAAGUUAGCCUACUGCAGACGUCGAGAUCAUGGGUUUUCAUAACCUCUUCAACCAUUUUUGCUGAAGAAACUAUCAGGGUUAACCUAAAUCCAAGUCACAAGGACAUGAGAGAGCCAUACUUGCGAGAGAGUUUGCAAAACAAAAUAUGAGGGGCUGUGUUAUCAAGCAUCUGCAUAUGCAAGUGACCGAUCAAGGGAAGACCUGGCGGGCCUGGGGGAAGAAGAAUAUUGCCAUUAUUUCUUUGUUUUAAGAGAAUGAAUAGGAAGAGGGUGGGGAGGGCUAGAACGAAGAACAGCAGCACUGCCAUUAUGAUCUAGUGAAGUAACUUGUGAAAAUUAAGGGCAAGAGUCCCCUAAUAAAGAACUAAUUAGCCAACUCUUUUGACCAAAAUUUUUUUAAUAAGAAUUAAUGAUCAGAUUCAUAUGGUUGAUAUUAAUAAUCAGAUUCAUAUGGCUGAUAUUAAUGAUCAUAUUCAUAUGGCUGAUAUUAUCCCGCCAACCAGGGGGAGGGUUGUUCAUUAAUGGGCCCGAGCCCCACAAAUUAAGUCCAAUGCUGUCACAAAACGCUUCACCGAGAAGGAUUCCUUACGUCUCCUCGCCAUGAAAAUUGGAAGCUUUGCUAGGUAGCUAGUAGCCUAUCAGUGAUGCAUUACUUAUUUACAUUGAAAAAAAAAACGGUUCAAAAAAUAAUUUUAUCUAAAAUUUUUUCUUCAUAUGAGAAAAAAAAAAGAGAUUUGUAAAAACAACUUGGUUUUCUCUUGACCAUUUUGUUCUUGAAAGUAUUUAGUUUUGCAUUGGUACAAAUUUCUCUUAAUUUGUGAAUUUAAGCUGAUGUGAGUGUCAUAUAUCUUUGCUCUUUCUACUCUGAUUCAAGUGCAUCAUAGGUUUCUUACACCUUACGAUAAUAAGAAAUGUUAAUGUUUAAACGGACAACAUUUGUUAUUGUAUUCGAGUAAACAUAGAAAAUUAUUUACUUUUGAUAUUUAAUUUAUGAUAUAAUGGUCAAAUAAGUCUCUAAAUUAUUUAAAAAAAUUUAAAUAAGUUUUUAUUUUUCAUUGUGUUCAAUACUUUUAUUUCAAGUCAAAUAAAUCUAUAUAACUAAUGAAUGAUUAAUUGUCAUUAGUCAAAAUCUCACCUGUCAUUUUAUAUCUACAUGACGUUGAUGUAGAGGAUAAAAAAUACCACAUGAUCAUGUUAUUAUAGUAAAUUAACACGUCACGUCAUUAUCAAUUAGUAUAUAUCAUCAUAUCACAUCAUUAUCAAUUAUGAUAUAUUAACAUGCUAUAUUAGUGUUAUGUGAUAUAAAAUGAUAAAUAGUAUUUUAAUUAAGUUAAUUAUUAGUCAUAAAGUCUUAUUUAAUUUUAAAUAAAAAUACAAUGACUUAUUUAAAAUUUUCAAAAUAAUUUAAAUAUUUUUUUGAAUAUUAUUCCUUAAUUUAUUUUAAUUUAAGUGUUUUGUUACUUUGAUUUUUGGCAACUUUAUUUAUCAGUAAAUACUAUUUCAACAAAAAAGUUAUAGAGACAAAUUUAAUUGAUUUAAAUGAGUUUCAAGUCAAUAAGUGACGUCUCCUUGUAUUAAUUUAAGAAUUCGGAAACUUAAAAAACAUUGAAUUGAUCACCCAACUAGAAUAUCAUAGAUUACUCAAAAGAAAGUUAAAUUACAUUACAUUAAUUAAUGAUCAUUAGGUUAUCAUUUUUGAAACAAAAACAACUUAAAAAUUAACAUUAACAAACAUGGAUUUAUUAUAAAACAUACACAACAUAAAAUGUUGUUGACACUCAACACUAGAGCAAGCUAGCAGCAAUUAAGUUACUAGGAUAACCUUACAUGCAUUAAACAUUAAUUUCUUUGGCCACAAGGCAAAGAGCAUUUUUUUUGUGUGUAGUGAUACCGGGUAUCACAUCAAAGUCUAAGUCUUCCUUGUUCAUCCCUGUUGGCAUUUCCCAAUCAAAUUUGUAAAGAAGAUUAGCAAGGGCAAGCUCCACAGUCACAACUCCCAUAUGUAUUCCGGGACAACCCCUUCUACCGGCACCAAAAGGUAUGAGCUUGAAGUCUAGUCCUUUAUAGUCAAUAGAGCUGCCAAUGAAUCUCUCCGGAUAGAAUUCUUCUGGAUUUUCCCAAGCUUCAGGGUCUCUUCCAAUUGCCCACGCAUUCACAUAAACUAAGGUUUUGGCAGGUAUUUCAUAUCCGCUUAUGUUGCUCUUUCGCAUUGUUUCUCGUGGCACCAACAAUGGAACUAUUGCUUGCAAUCUGAAUGUUUCUUUUAUCACAGCUUUAAGAUAAGUUAAGGCUUGAGUAUCAUCUUCAUUUACAAAAUCUUUUUUCCCCAUCAAACUUCUCACUUCCUCUUGAGCUUUCUUCAAACACCUAGGAUUUUUCAUUAGGAAGGUCAUGACCCAAAUCACACUGGCAGCGCUAGUGUCCGUUCCAGCAACAAACACAUUCUACAUAAGAGAAAGAAAAAAAGACAUGAGGUAAUAUAUAUAUAUUCCAAGAAUGUUGAAGCUAUAAAAUUAAUUAAUGAUAAUACUUAAUACUAUAAUAAAGUAAAUUUUUGAGUGAGGAUUGACCAUUAGCACAGCUUUUAUGUGAUCUAUAGUAAGAUCAAUCGCAAAUUCACGAUCCUUCCAAAUUUGUAGUAAGACAUCGAUUAUGUCUUCUUGCUCCAAUUUUGACCUAUUUGGAUCAAGAUGUUCGUCGAUGAGUUUUUGAUAGAAGGUAUCAAAUUCUUUAAAAUUUUUUUCAACACGCUUGAGCAAUCCGGAGAUUCUAUCAACCCAAUUCAUGAAAGGAAAAUAAUCAGAAAUAAAGAAUUCCACGAACAGGGCUUGGGCUUCAUUAAGCAUCUCAUGGAAUCUGCUUCUUUCAGUUCCUUCGUCUUCAUACCUCUUGCCGAAUCCUACUCUGCAAAUUAUUGUACUGGUAAGACACAUCAUUGCCUCACUCAAAUUGACAGGCUUAGAAUCAACAGAUAAUUUGGAUAUUUUUGCAAUUAGGCGAGAAACUUCAUCUUCUCGAAUGGGACGAUAGAGUUGCACCCUGUUGGAGUUAAAGAGAUGAACAACACAUAUUUUUCUGAUCUCCCUCCAAUAAGCAGUAUACGGUGAAAAAGCCAAAUCUAAACCUUUGUAAGAUAAUUUAUAUGACCCAUGUAAAGUAGGCCUACUGCAAAAGUCAAGGUCAUGUGUUUUCAUAACCUCUUUAGCCAUUUUCGCUGAAGAAACUACCAGCGUUAACCAAAAUCCGAGUCGCAAGGACAUGAGAGAGCCAUACUUUUGAGAGAGUUUCCAAAGAAAAAUAUGAGGGGCUGAGUUAUCUAGCAUCUGCAUGUGUAAGUGACCGAUCAAGGGAAGGCCUGGAGGGCCAGGGGGAAGAAGAAUACUGCCGUUUCUUCUAUGUUUUAGCAGAAUGCAUAGGAAGAGACUGGGGAGGGCUAGAACAAAGAACAACAAAACUACCAUUUUGAUAUAAUCGAUUGAUGAAGCGACUUGUGACAAUUGAGAGCAAGAGUCCCCUUAUAUACACUAAUUAGCAGACACUUCUAACUAAAAAAUUUAAUGCAAGCUGACACUUGCAUUGUUGAAUAUUGCUCCUCUUUUUUGUACCAAGAUAAAUAUAGGAAGGAAUAAAUAUUUGAAAUUGCUUCUUUAUGUCAGGAACAAUAGGCAUUUGAAGGGGAAAUUAAUAAGGAAACGUAAUGUAAUGAAGGUCCGUCAUUCUACAUUAUAGUCAGCUUGGUAACACUACUGUUUUUUUCCCUGAUCGUGAUAUAUAGUAAAAAAAAAUUUAUGAAUUAUUGUUGUUACUGCUCCAUUUGUUCUAUUUUUUAUUGAAAUGUCACGGUGAGCUGCUGUCGUUUCCAGAAAAGGCCAAACGCAAGUUAAUUUUCUCGAUUUUGUUUAGGAUUUUGAGUUCUUAGGAAGAUUUGUUUUUGAAAAGUGAUUUAUUAACCUCUUCAAUCAAAGUGCCGGCCGUUCCAAGUCUCUUUCAAUUAAAAAACGAUUUUCAAUAACAUCAAUACUUGAUUUGGAUAGUAAGUAAUAUUGUACAAUUACCAAAAGAUUUACCGCACCAUCCUACAUGCGGACGGGGUCUUAAACCCUUCAAACCUAUCAAAAGAUUUCUCUUCAGGAAUAUGCUGUUGCUUUGUUCACGGAUUAUUUGCUGUUUGUUUUGUUUUGGAAUGAACGUUGAGAUUGGUGGUUCCAGGUUGUAUGGUCAACAAAGAAAAUGUACAAAUUUCCUCACGCUUGCCAAUAAUUGGCUUAUGCUUGAUUCUCGCGUCUCUGGUAAAUAUAAUGUUAUACAGAAAUUCAUAAAGCUGGAACCAAGUGUCAAAGAAGCAGAAUGUUUAGCUUCUCCUUAACGUCACCCUCUCCAUCAGAAUCCUUCAGUCCUUCACGGCAUCAUUUGAUCUUUAGACUGGUUAGUGGUCCAUUGCAGUAGGAACCAUACGUCUUCAUUGUUGAAUUUUCGCGAUAUGGGUUCAAUAAUGAAAGGUGAAAUCUCGCAGGCCAAUCCAAGAUUUUGAUUCCUCUAUGCCUAUCCAUCUGCAUUAUUGAGAAACGAUAAAGGCCUAAAUCCAAUAAUUACCGGUUCACAUGUAGUAUGAGUUAAUUAGAUGGAGAAUUUUGAUUCGAACAUAAAUUAAAUAUUUUGAAGUAAUUUGUCUUUGAUUAAGACUAUAAUAUAUAGAGUACUCUAUUGGGCCCAAAAUGAAUCAUUAGUUACUUUCAAUAAAAAAUUAAACAGAAUCGACCUAAUUACACAAAUAUUAAAGAAGUACAAAGAAAAUGUCGCAUCUAGUAUCGUAAUUAGUGAAUUCUAUGAUUCACGUGGUUCAAGCUCUUGCUGUACGACGUACUAGUUGGAAACUAGAAAAGAAGAAGACAAGUGUUGAUGCUUUCCUGCCUAUGGAUUUGCUGCAGUGAUGUUUAAUUAUAUAUUAACAUCUAUUGUACAUGAAUCCAGCUAAUUGAAAAUGAUGUUUGUCUAUUGCUAUUCACAUGAUGUUAUAUCUAAGAUGAAUCACGACGACAAGUUUUUUCUUUCUUUAGCUUUAUUGCUAGAUGUCAUCUUUUCUGUGUUGAUUUUCAUGGUUUUUCUUUAGCAUACCAGGUAUCACAUCAAAGUCUUCUUUAUUCAUCCCGGCCGGCAUUUCCCAAUCAAAUUUGUAAAGAAGAUUGGCAAGGGCAAGCUCCAAAGUUGAUACUCCCAUAUGCAAGUGACCGAUCAAGGGAAGACCUGGCGGGCCUGGGGGAAGAAGAAUAUUGCCAUUAUUUCUUUGUUUUAAGAGAAUGAAUAGGAAGAGGGUGGGGAGGGCUAGAACGAAGAACAGCAACACUACCAUUGUGAUCUAGUGAAACAACUUGUGAAAAUUGAGGGCAAGAGUCCCCUAAUAAAGAACUAAUUAGCCAACUCUUUUGACCAAAAUUUUUUUAAUAAAAAUUAAUGAUCAGAUUCAUAUGGCUGAUAUUAAUGAUCAGAUUCAUAUGGUUGAUAUUAAUGAUCAGAUCCAUAUGGUUGAUAUUAUCUCGCCAAUCAGGGGGAGGGUUGUUCAUUAAUGGGCUCGAGCCCCACAAAUUAAGUCCAAUGCUGUCACAAAACGCUUCACCGAGAAGGAUUCCUUACGUCUCCUCGCCAUGGAAAUUGGAAGCUUUGCUAGGUAGCUAGCAGCCUAUCAGUGAUGCAUUUCUUAUUUACAUUGAAAAAAAAAACGGUUCAAAAAAUAAUUUUAUCUAAAAUUUUUUCUUCAUAUGAGAAAAAAAAAAGAGAUUUGUCAAAAAAACUUGGUUUUCUCUUGACCAUUUUGUUCUUGAAAGUAUUUAGUUUCUCAUUGGUACAAAUUUCUCUUAAUUUGUGAAUUUAAGCUGAUGUGAGUGUCAUAUAUCUUUGCUCUUUCUACUCUGAUUCAAGUGCAUCAUAGGUUUCAUACACCUUACGAUAAUAAGAAAUGUUAACGUUUAAACGGACAACAUUUGUUAUUGUAUUCGAGUAAACAUAGAAAAUUAUUUACUUUUGAUAUUUAAUUUAUGAUAUAAUGGUCAAAUAAGUCUCUAAAUUAUUUAAAAAAAUUUAAAUAAGUUUUUAUUUUUUAUUGUGUUCAAUACUUUUAUUUCAAGUCAAAUAAAUCCAUAUAACUAAUGAAUGAUUAAUUAUCAUUAGUCAAAAUGUCGUCUGUCAUUUUAUAUCCACAUGACGUUGAUGUGGAGGAUGAAAAAUACCACAUGAUCAUGUUAUCAUGGUAAAUUAACACGUCACGUCAUUAUCAAUUAUGAUAUAUCAUCAUAUCAUAUUAUUAUCAAUUAUGAUAUAUUAGCAUGCUAUAUUAGUGUCAAGUGAUAUAAAAUGAUAAAUAGUAUUUUAAUUAAGUUAAUUAUUAGUCAUAAAGUCUUAUUUAAUUUAAAAUAAAAAUACAAUGACUUAUUUAAAAUUUUCAAAAUAAUUUAAAUAUUUUUUUUGAAUAUUAUUCCUUAAUUUAUUUUAAUUUAAGCGUUUUGUUACUUUGAUUUUUGGCAACUUUAUUUAUCAGUAAAUACUAUUUCAACAAAAAAGUUAUAGAGACAAAUUUAAUUGAUUUAAAUGAGUUUCAAGUCAAUAAGUGAUGUCUCCUUGUAUUAAUUUAAGAAUUCGGAAACUUAAAAAACAUUGAAUUGAUCACUCAACUAGAAUAUCAUGGAUUACUCAAAAGAAAGUUAAAUUACAUUACAUUAAUUAAUGAUCAUUAGGUUAUCGUUUUUGAAACAAAAACAACUUAAAAAUUAACAUUAACAAACAUGGAUUUAUUAUAAAACAUACACAACAUAAAAUGUUGUUGACACUCCAAACUAGAGCAAGCUAGCAGCAAUUAAGUUACUAGGAUAACCUUACAUGCAUUAAACAUUAAUUUCUUUGGCCACAAGGCAAAGAGCAUUUUUUGUGUGUGUAGUGAUACCGGGUAUCACAUCAAAGUCUAAGUCUUCCUUGUUCAUCCCUGUUGGCAUUUCCCAAUCAAAUUUGUAAAGAAGAUUAGCAAGGGCAAGCUCCACAGUCACAACUCCCAUAUGUAUUCCGGGACAACCCCUUCUACCGGCACCAAAAGGUAUGAGCUCGAAGUCUAGUCCUUUAUAGUCAAUAGAGCUGCCAAUGAAUCUCUCCGGAUAGAAUUCUUCUGGGUUUUCCCAAGCUUCAGGGUCUCUUCCAAUUGCCCACGCAUUCACAUAAACUAAGGUUUUGGCAGGUAUUUCAUAUCCGCUUAUGUUGCUCUUUCGCAUUGUUUCUCGUGGCACCAACAAUGGAACUAUUGCUUGCAAUCUGAAUGUUUCUUUUAUCACAGCUUUAAGAUAAGUUAAGGCUUGAGUAUCAUCUUCAUUUACAAAAUCUUUUUUCC